UUAAAAUCUAAAAUUUCAAUUAAAAAUUUUUGAAAUAUUUAUAAAAACUAUUAUAUGUUAAGAUUUAAUUAUAUUUAUUUUAAUAAUGAUUUAUAAAUUAUAUUAAACUACUAAUUAUAAUAAUAUACAUUGUUGUUGUUUAUUAAGAGAUUGUUAAUUUUAUGAUAUUAAUAUAUAAUGAAUUUAUAUUUACUAGUAUACUAGUUAAACUCUGAUUGAACUUAAGCUUUUAAUCAUCUGCCUUUACUGGUUCAAUAGCCAGGCCAAGUUUAAAAACCUCACUUUGACCAAUAUAAUGUUCAUUACGUAAACAAAUGUAUAUAAUCCUUUUUUCUUUGUUUUAUUUAUUUUAUUGCCACAAUUUUUUUUUUAUUUUUCCAUAAUCAUCACCCCAUCAGGUAAUCGUUGCCGUUGCUGUUGCUGUUGUCACCGCCUAGCAACCAACACCACCAACAGCAGUCACCUAGCAUUGCUAUCAUAUCACUCUAUCAUUAAUACCACCACAAAUAAACUAAAUAUUGGAAUAA
Molecule: unclassified non-coding RNA, 527 nt
Filed under: Hevea brasiliensis (rubber tree)
Lineage: Eukaryota; Viridiplantae; Streptophyta; Magnoliopsida; Malpighiales; Euphorbiaceae
Source: RNAcentral